Non-coding RNA from Caenorhabditis elegans, 203 nucleotides. NCBI's taxonomy places the organism in Eukaryota, Metazoa, Nematoda, Chromadorea, Rhabditida, Rhabditidae. The record is from Ensembl.
AGCUCCAUUUUUGUAUAUUACUAAACGUAUUCAGUUCACUUCCAAAUUGAAAGCACAAAAAUGAAUUUUGUUCUUGUCUCACUAACAAUGGAUUUGGUUGUGUUUGUGAUGCUAAACAAUGAACAAAAAGCCCAGCGAGAGAGUGUGUCAGUGUUAGAGACUUUGAUAUUUUGGGAGGAAAACUGUGUAAACUGGUACGGACG